This 404-nucleotide ribosomal RNA is filed under the name Actinomycetes bacterium. RNAcentral's name for it is "Actinobacteria bacterium partial 16S ribosomal RNA". It matches the Rfam family "Bacterial small subunit ribosomal RNA", at positions 355 to 776 of the family's 1533-position model. The record is from RNAcentral. Lineage: Bacteria; Bacillati; Actinomycetota; Actinomycetes.
UGGGGAAUAUUGGACAAUGGGCGCAAGCCUGAUCCAGCCAUGCCGCGUGAGUGAUGAAGGCCCUAGGGUUGUAAAGCUCUUUCACCGGUGAAGUUAAUGACGGUAACCGGAGAAGAAGCCCCGGCUCACUCCGUGCCAGCAGCCGCGGUAAUACGAAGGGGGCUAGCGUUGUUCGGAUUUACUGGGCGUAAAGCGCACGUAGGCGGACUUUUAAGUCAGGGGUGAAAUCCCGGGGCUCAACCCCGGAACUGCCUUUGAUACUGGAAGUCUUGAGUAUGGUAGAGGUGAGUGGAAUUCCGAGUGUAGAGGUGAAAUUCGUAGAUAUUCGGAGGAACACCAGUGGCGAAGGCGGCUCACUGGACCAUUACUGACGCUGAGGUGCGAAAGCGGGGGGAGCAAACAGG